This 100-nucleotide ribosomal RNA is filed under the name bovine gut metagenome. The record is from RNAcentral.
AUAGCGGUGAGGAACCACCUCUUCCCAUUCCGAACAGAGAAGUUAAGCUCACCAUCGCCGAUGGUACUGCCCCACCAGGUGGGAGAGUAGGUAGCUGCGG